This 106-nucleotide ribosomal RNA is filed under the name uncultured bacterium. Its description in RNAcentral is "partial 16S ribosomal RNA". The record is from RNAcentral.
CCCGUCACACCAUGGGAGUUGGUUUGACCUUAAGCUGGUGCGCGAACCGCCCAAUCUUCGGAAAGGGUGGACGCAGCCAACCACGGUCGGGUCAGCGACUGGGGUG